Molecule: long non-coding RNA, 689 nt
Organism: Portunus trituberculatus (swimming crab)
Lineage: Eukaryota; Metazoa; Arthropoda; Malacostraca; Decapoda; Portunidae
Exons: 4
Source: RefSeq, a predicted model, not a curated record
UCUGGGAGAUAAAAUGAAAACACAUUGGUGGAUCAAAAUUUGUGUAAAGGUUUCUUCGUGUGGAGAUUACUAACUUACCGCCGGGAGUCAAUAGGAUUUAAUGGUUAUUGAGUGCAGUGAGUGCUUUCGAGGUGGUGUGGUGACUGUGGUCGUGGUAGGAGUAGUGCCGACGGGUGGCGGAGGACGUGUGGUUUGCUAGCAUGGUGAGGGCCAGUGUUGUGCUAGGGAGGUGCUGGUGAGGUGUGUCGCUGAUGCUGCCGCCUCUCAACCCCGACGGGUGUUUUCUUCCUCCUCUUUUCCACGCGUCUGUCCGUCGGCUCAGGUGUGAGUGUCCGUGCUGAGCUGAGGCGCUGCUGAGACCGCGAGCAAAGAAAGGAAACCAGACCCGAGCAUCGUCACCACAGCCACCUCCCACCCCUGCCCUCCUGCCACGCUUGUCCGCUGCCCUCAUGAAGCAGAUCCGCCCCUUGUCACCGCGCUGCACGGCUCGCUCAGGCCAUGGACCAUUCAUUAAUGCUACGACGUGAACGUCGGGUUGUAUAGCACGCCGGAAUGACGCCGAGAAUGCUUGUGUGUGUGUGUGUCUGGUGUCUGGUUAUGAUGGCGGUGGUGAUGUUGGUGAUGAUGCAUGGUGAUAAUGAUAAUAAUGAUGGUAGUAAAUGAUAACAGUAGUAAUAGUGAUAAUAAGA